Leopardus geoffroyi (Geoffroy's cat) is the source of this 2765-nucleotide RNA transcript. It is a transcript of the gene named keratin, ultra high-sulfur matrix protein-like, with no coding region annotated. The record is from RefSeq and is a predicted model, not a curated record. Lineage: Eukaryota; Metazoa; Chordata; Mammalia; Carnivora; Felidae. The transcript is spliced from 2 exons.
GGUGGGGCAGCCGGAGGAUGGCUUCCGUGGUCGCGUGGGUGAGGGGAGCUCCCCCUCCUGGGAUCCCUUUCUCCCCCAUCUUCCCUCCUUGGCCUCGACUCCGCGCUGAGACCUGGCUUCCCCCUCAGCUGCUCCUGUCGCCUCCCUCUGUGAAGGUGACAUGAGGCUCCCAUCUGGCCAACCACCUGCUGGCGUCUCUGCCCCUCUUGCAGUCCCAUCGUGCAGCCCCUGUGGAGGGUCACGCCGCCCCUGCAGCCCUUUAGGACCCCCAGGGGCCUGUGCUGCUGCUCCCAAGGCCGUUCUGCCUCCCCGCUUCCCGGGCCUGGGCGGCUGCUCUGUCCUGGGCCUGCAGAUGCGGGGGCCUCUGUGCUCACGGCCUGGCUGUGGGGCCUGUGGCCGCUCCUGCUGCUCCUCACAGCGGACCCUCCACCACAGCUGUGCACUUGGUGACUGCGGGAGGGGUGGUCGCGCUGGGCGUCCCAUGAGCAGAGUCUGUGUGGGGACACGUGGAUUCCCUCCCUUCUCCCGACUGUCCCCUUCCAGCCUAGCCAGAAGAGGUGGCCUCGGACAGCUCAGGGAGCAUGUGGAAUUCAACUUUACCUUCGUCUCCUCUCCAUGGAGCCCUCGGCUUAUCCUGAGAGGAGGAGAAAGAAAUGAGGUCGAGAAGACAGUGAGGCCAGAGCAUCUCAGAUGGAGAGCAUAUAAGGGAAGACCCUUCGAGGCUGUUGAGUCCGUUGUCCUGGGGAGUUCGGGGAGGGCUCCUUUCUGCGGCACGCCCGAGGGGCAAUCUUGGACAGCAGGAGAGCAAGACGGAAGGUUCUGCUUGUUCAGCAGGAGAGCGUGAAAGUUCCCCGUGAAAAUCGUUCACUGUUCUGUUUUGCACAUUGUGCUUGUGUCUGUAGAACCGAUUCCUACAAGUGAGACUGCUGGUCAGGGGGCGUGCUCAUGCACACGUUACAGGUGCCCCCCCCGCCCCCCCCCCCCCCCACACACACGUUGUGCUGGUAUGCAGUGUAGGGCAGUCAUGGGGAGACAGACUGCAGCUCAGACAAACCAAGGACUUUCUCCUGGUUAAAAUGUCUCACAACCGCUGAGACCGUCUGCGUCGGGGCAGGAAGUGUUCCAGAAGAGCACGGAUGACCAGGGUGUUGUGGAGGGGAUUACAACGUUGGGAAAUGCAGCUUCGUGUCAUGCUCUGGAGAACCCCUAGGACUCUCCAGUGUGGCAUGUCCCCCAGGGGUGACUCUAGGCCCUGAGCCCUUUCAAAUGCGAUACAUUUUCCUGGUGGGCCCAAGAGGGCUCAGGGGCUUCACAGCGUCAGCUGUUGGCCGCAUUCCCAUCCUCCUGCACCUGCAGACUUACAGCUGAGCUCGGCUUACUCUUUGCCCUAACAGGCGUGCCUACUGUGUCCUCAGCUGGGCUGGCCUGGCCCUGCUGCACCUCCCUUGUGGUCUUAGGUGAGACCUGACCUUGACCUGGCCUGACCUUUCCCCAUAGACCGUGAGGUCUUCCCUGGUGUCUGAAGCGGGGACACUAUUGCAGGGCCUGUGAGAGUUAACUCAUUUUGCUCUGGGACCUCAAUCCACUGACCGGCUGUGCUCAUCUGCCACUGCCCUCUGUGACCUGCCCACCACACAGCCUUUCUCCUCGACCCCUGGCAACAACCUCUUCAGAGCAGGGCCAUCACCUGCAAGGUGGUGGGGUGGCAGGCCUCACCCCUCGGGGGAUGCAUGCAGGAAUGGGGUACACAUCUAUUUAUAAUCUCUACUUCAUUGAUGAGAAAAUCAAGGUGAAGAGCCACAAUUCUGCCUAUGUCUCAUCAUGUCUGAGAUCUCUGGGUAGAACCAGGAUUCCCUACAAGGGGCUGGAAGUGCCUGGCUAUCAUAGUUCUGAUCCUACUGUGGGUCAUUAGUAAAUACUGGGUGAACGACCUUUGGUCAUUAUGUUUUUGUGACCCAGGAUUUUAGUGUACAAGAAAGCCAGUGUGGCCUUAGGGUCCUGGUCACUGAACACUGGACCUUUGUGAUUUGGUGCCACUUUCCAAACGUUGGCCGGGGAACCUGAACUGGGCUGGCUAUAUCAAGAUCAUAAUGGGGGCUAAUAAAAAAUACAGAUCUGGGGGCUCCAUCUCUGAAGAUCACAAUUUACAUAAAGUCUGGGAUGGGACCUUGGAAUCUAUAUUUUAAGCAAAUUUCCCAGAUACUUCUGAUGUCAGUUAAACUUAUCAACUAACUGGAUUGAGAAAGCAGAGAGAACAAAAGUGGCUAAUUAAAGAUUGGUAGGAGGGCGUCUGUAGAUUAUGAUGAUUUUUCUUGACUCUAUGUUAGAGGUUUGCCGACAGAAAGGAAAAAGAGAAGCACAAUUUUAUGGUGUCAGCCACACUGCUUGUGUGCUUUUGUUGGUGUUGUUUAAUUAAAGUUCACUGACUCUGAAGGGACUGAAUGCAAAUUCUUAGAUAAACUCCAUCUUUCAAAAGCACUGCCUACUAAAGCUGUGGUUCACACACCUCCCUACCCCCUUCACAUACAAUGUGUACCAAAUGAAUACGAUUUAAGGAGGGAAAACUUUCUGAUGAACAAGAAGAGGUCUUGGGUUUGCUUUUUGCAGGUGGAAACAUAGGACCUUGCCCUGGGCUUAACCCUCAGGUAUUUUUCUUGGAAAGGAUGGAUGAAAUGAGUACUUAAAAAAAAAAAAAAGUUUUAAAAGACUUAAAUUUUUUUAAAUCUUUAUUUUUGAGAGAGAGAUAGAGUGUGAGCAGGGGAGAG